GGAAACCAUGACUGGGGAAGGGAAAUUACGAAGCGGGUUUAGAAAGGGGCGCAUAAAAGAAUACUCAAAGAGCUUGAAUACGCGUGAAAUAUUCCUUAAAAAGGAAAAAGGCAUAGUUAGGGGCUUGGCUAAAACAUUAUCAGAGUUUGCAACGGAAGGUGUAACUGAAUUAAUCAGUGUUUACAGCGGAAUGCAUAACUGAGAUACAUGUAUGAAGACAUGUAUCCUUUCUGAGCCUACUUUAAGUUCGACAAAAACUCCACUCAGCAACAACACUUCAUCGCCCAUCACAGCUCAACCUGCACAAACAUAAACAUCGAAGGGCUAAGUACAAGAGUACUUAGUGGGCAGUUGCCAAGCAUAUAACAUAACAUCAUUAACAAUUUCACAAUAUCGCAUAAGAGGCAUGAGUUUCUUUCAUAUCCUUUGCUCAUUAAACAUUUCCAAAUUCAUAAAUAACAUGAGCGCAUUCUUCAUCAUCAACAAUCAUAAACAAGCAUCGUGUCGUGGAGAAGGCCUUCCCCAACGAACACGGGCAUCGCGCCGUGAAGGGGGCCUCCCUCAGCGGUCACGGCAUCGUACUAUUGAGGGAGGCCUCCCCCAAUAGACGCUGUAACACUGGCAUACUGGCAUCGCGCCGCGAGAGAGGCCUCUCUCAGCGGACACGGGCAUCGCGCCGUGAGGAAGGCCCUCCUCAGCGGACACGGCAUCGUACUGUUGAGGGAGGCCUCCCCCAACAGACGCAAGCAUCAAACAUAAGCAUAAACUUAUCAGCGUAAAGCAUUCAAGCGUAAAUAAGCGUAAUCAAGCGUAAAUCACAUAAGGCGUAAGUAGCAUAAACAGCAUAGCGUAAAUCAUUUAGCGUGAAGCAUAAUAAAGCUUAACUCAAUUAGGCGUAAUAAAGCAUAACACACUUGAAGAUCCAAUUUGCAUUUUUAAAGCAUAACACUUGCAUAGCAUUUUAUUUACGCGUAAGAAAUUGCCCACCUGAUAGCAAAGUUUUGCUAAGGUACUCUAACUCCUUGUGUAGUUC
This 1033-nucleotide long non-coding RNA is filed under the name Salvia miltiorrhiza (redroot sage). RNAcentral's name for it is "long non-coding RNA (SMIL_LNC007515)". The record is from RNAcentral. Lineage: Eukaryota; Viridiplantae; Streptophyta; Magnoliopsida; Lamiales; Lamiaceae.